Molecule: ribosomal RNA, 254 nt
Filed under: uncultured bacterium
Lineage: Bacteria
Description: partial 16S ribosomal RNA
Rfam family: Bacterial small subunit ribosomal RNA
Source: RNAcentral
UACGUAGGGGGCAAGCGUUGUCCGGAUUUAUUGGGCGUAAAGAGCUCGUAGGCGGUUUGGUAAGUCAGGUGUGAAAUCUCCACGCUCAACGUGGAGGGGCCACCUGAUACUGCCAUGACUGGAGUCCGGUAGAGGAGUGUGGAAUUCCCGGUGUAGCGGUGAAAUGCGUAGAUAUCUGGAGGAACAUCAGUGGCGAAGGCGACACCCUGGACUCAUACUGACACUGAGGUGCGAAAGCGUGGGGAGCAAACAGG